GGCUUCUGCAUAAUCUGUCUUCUCUCUCCUCAGAACCUUGGCAUUCUUCUCUUUAUCACAAUUCAUUGCCAGGAGAGGAAAGAAUGAUGAUUGUUUUCAAAUGAUAUGGGGAAUGUAAAGCACAUCGGGAAUAGAAUGUCAUGCCCAGGAUUUCCAAACAGAAAGGGCUUUUGCAAUUAUGAGCACAAGAUACCAGUUUACAAGACCCUCUACAAAAUUACAAGUCUGCCUUGGCAUUGGAAUGGGAGCAACUCCUUCUGUUAAAGGUAUAGAAUAAAAUUGGUAAACAUUAAAGCAACUAUCAAGCUACUGUAUGCCUACCAAAUAGGACAUGUCAUUGACCUGAAGAGGGUAAGAGGUUGACAACUCACUAGCCUUGCCCCUCACUAGACUUUCUGCAGUUUUUUCCUGCCUGGCAGAUUCUACUUCCUUCAGAAAGGUUGAAAAUGACAGAAACUUCUUUUUCCAGGAUUUCUUGCUGCUGGGACAUGACAUAUAACCCAAUAUUGACCAACAGGAUAUGAAGAAAAUAUAUGCUACUGGC
Pan paniscus (pygmy chimpanzee) is the source of this 544-nucleotide long non-coding RNA. The record is from Ensembl. Lineage: Eukaryota; Metazoa; Chordata; Mammalia; Primates; Hominidae.